CAAGUCAGACGCACACGGUACAUUUUUACUAGCCUUCGGAGCGCGCUAACACUAUUGGGACAUAAAUUAUUAACUUUUUUGAACAAAACUACAUUUGUUAUGGACCUGGGAAUUCCUAGAAGUGCCUUCUGAUAAAGAUAAUCUAAGAUGCUAUGCCGGAUUAACUCAUUGCAGAAUGUGUCCAUAAUCACGAAUGAAUAAGCAUAUUUACAGUGCCUUCAGUGUGCUCUGAGGAUGGAACAUGUGCUGUGGGGUUCAGUGUGGGUGGACAUGGUGGCUCAGUUGAUGACCAGGUUGUUCUGGGAUUUCAGCUACAUGUAGGAAGUCACAUGGCAACAACAGGUUUUGAUGGAGUAGUCUUAUCCUACCUCUCCCACCCUUGGGCUGGGCCUUCAACACUUGAAUGUCUUUAUCUUAGCAGGCCGGGAUGACAUAUACUUCAUCUUCCCAGUAGGAGCGGAUCUUUCCUGGCCUUCCCAUUUCUCUCAUGUUCCUUACAAGGACCCUGCUGCCUUCCUGAAACUCUGACCCAUAGGUUAUCUUGUCGUACUGCUUAUUUCCCCUGUAAACUGAUUUGGCUAUAUUUUUGGAUGCUAUCACUUCUCCACAUAGUCCUGGUAGGAGCCUGGAUUUUCCUCUCUAUCUAUCCUGAACAG
This 656-nucleotide long non-coding RNA is filed under the name Salmo salar (Atlantic salmon). Its description in RNAcentral is "lncRNA (ENSSSAG00000092475.1, ENSSSAG00075039799.1)". The record is from RNAcentral. Lineage: Eukaryota; Metazoa; Chordata; Actinopteri; Salmoniformes; Salmonidae.